UCUCAUUCAAAAUAUUAGUUAUUUUAGGGUAAUUAAAUUAUACAGUAAAGUAUACUCACACAAAGACACAGACAAUCUUACUGAUGCACACAAAUAGGCUCAUUGACAGACAAUCUCAAUGACACACACAGACAAGGUUACUGGCACACACAAAUUUAGUACAGAAACUCUGAUACACACACAAGCUUACUACAGACAAGCUCACUGUCACACACACACGCUCACUACAGACAAGCUCACUGAUGCGCACACACUCCCUACAGACAAGCCCAUUGACACACACAUGCUCCCUACAGAACAGCUCACUAACACACAGAUUCACUACAGACAAGCUUACUGACACACACAUGCUCACUGACACACACGCUCACGGACACACACGCUCAUUACAGACAAGAGCUCACUAACACACAUACAAGCUCCCUCACUAGCAGGCACACACACACACACACACACACAGAGGCUCCCUCACUAGCAGGCGCACGCACACACAGAGGCAGACAGUCACUGACACCGAGGCAAACAUCCACACAUACAGAGACAGGCAGACAGCCACACACACACAGGCAGAC
This is a non-coding RNA of Pelobates cultripes (western spadefoot toad), 572 nucleotides long. The record is from the annotation of a GenBank genome assembly. Lineage: Eukaryota; Metazoa; Chordata; Amphibia; Anura; Pelobatidae.